CCUACGGGAGGCAGCAGUGGGGAAUCUUACGCAAUGGGCGAAAGCCUGACGCAGCCAUGCCGCGUGAAUGAUGAAGGUCUUAGGAUUGUAAAAUUCUUUCACCGGGGACGAUAAUGACGGUACCCGGAGAAGAAGCCCCGGCUAACUUCGUGCCAGCAGCCGCGGUAAUACGAAGGGGGCUAGCGUUGCUCGGAAUUACUGGGCGUAAAGGGAGCGUAGGCGGAUAGUUUAGUCAGAGGUGAAAGCCCAGGGCUCAACCUUGGAAUUGCCUUUGAUACUGGCUAUCUUGAGUGUGGGAGAGGUAUGUGGAACUCCGAGUGUAGAGGUGAAAUUCGUAGAUAUUCGGAAGAACACCAGUGGCGAAGGCGACAUACUGGCCCAUUACUGACGCUGAGGCUCGAAAGCGUGGGGAGCAAACAGGAUUAGAUACCCUGGUAGUCCACGCUGUAAACGAUGAGUGCUAGUUGUCGGCAGGCAUGCCUGUCGGUGACGCAGCUAACGCAUUAAGCACUCCGCCUGGGGAGUACGGUCGCGAGAUUAAAACUCAAAGGAAUUGACGG
RNAcentral lists this ribosomal RNA (560 nucleotides) under uncultured bacterium. RNAcentral describes it as "bacterial SSU rRNA". It matches the Rfam family "Bacterial small subunit ribosomal RNA", at positions 338 to 916 of the family's 1533-position model. The record is from RNAcentral.